This 253-nucleotide ribosomal RNA is filed under the name uncultured bacterium. RNAcentral's name for it is "partial 16S ribosomal RNA". It matches the Rfam family "Bacterial small subunit ribosomal RNA", at positions 524 to 776 of the family's 1533-position model. The record is from RNAcentral.
UACGAGGGGUGCAAGCGUUGCUCGGAAUUACUGGGCGUAAAGGGUGCGUAGGCGGUUCGUUAAGUCUGUUGUGAAAUCCCCGGGCUCAACCUGGGAAUGGCAAUGGAUACUGGCGAGCUAGAGUGUGAUAGAGGAUGGUGGAAUUCCCGGUGUAGCGGUGAAAUGCGUAGAGAUCGGGAGGAACAUCAGUGGCGAAGGCGGCCAUCUGGAUCAACACUGACGCUGAAGCACGAAAGCGUGGGGAGCAAACAGG